RNAcentral lists this long non-coding RNA (263 nucleotides) under Lathyrus oleraceus (garden pea). RNAcentral describes it as "Pisum sativum (pea) long non-coding RNA (PSAT_LNC016837)". Lineage: Eukaryota; Viridiplantae; Streptophyta; Magnoliopsida; Fabales; Fabaceae. The record is from RNAcentral.
UCAAAUCCAACAAUGAACUAUUAAUAUCUACUCUUUCUUGACAUUUAUUCAUCUUAUUCCUUCUUUUCCUUCUUCAUCUUCAACACCACCUUAAACACAUUCAUAUCAAAAUCCAACCCAACUUUUUUAUAAAAAAAAACACAAUUAAACUCAAAACUUUAAAAUACAAAUUCAAUUAAGUGCGUAAAACAUAAAUUUUUCAUACAAAUCUUAACAUAAAAACUCAAAUCACAUAUUUUCCAACUUUACAAAUUUUAUUGGAC